CCUGGCUCAGAACGAACGCUGGCGGCGUGCUUAACACAUGCAAGUCGAACGAGAAAGCCCUUCGGGGUGAGUAAAGUGGCGCACGGGUGAGUAACGCGUGGGUAAUCUACCCUUUGGCGGGGGAUAACACUUCGAAAGAGGUGCUAAUACCGCAUAAGACCACGCCCUCGAGGGGGAGUGGGAAAAGAUGGGGAUCUUCGGACCUGUCACCAGAGGAUGAGCCCGCGUACCAUUAGAUAGUUGGUGGGGUAACGGCCUACCAAGUCGAAGAUGGUUAGCUGGUCUGAGAGGAUGAUCAGCCACACUGGGACUGAGACACGGCCCAGACUCCUACGGGAGGCAGCAGUGGGGAAUAUUGCGCAAUGGGGGCAACCCUGACGCAGCAACGCCGCGUGUGUGAAGAAGGCUUUCGGGUCGUAAAGCACUGUCGAGUGGAACGAGCCUGUUAUGGUUAAUACCCGCGACCCCGACGGUACCACUUGAGGAAGCACCGGCUAACUCCGUGCCAGCAGCCGCGGUAAUACGGAGGGUGCAAGCGUUGUUCGGAAUUAUUGGGCGUAAAGCGCGCGUAGGCGGGAAGCUAAGUCUGAUGUGAAAUCCCUCGGCUCAACCGAGGACGUGCAUUGGAUACUGGCUUUCUUGAAUCCUGGAGAGGGUGGCGGAAUUCCCAGUGUAGAGGUGAAAUUCGUAGAGAUUGGGAGGAACACCAGUGGCGAAGGCGGCCACCUGGACAGUGAUUGACGCUGAGGUGCGAAAGCGUGGGUAGCAGACAGGAUUAGAUACCCUGGUAGUCCACGCCGUAAACGAUGGGUACUAGUUGGUGCGGGUAUUGACCCCUGCGCUGACGCAGCUAACGCAUUAAGUACCCCGCCUGGGGAGUACGGCCGCAAGGCUAAAACUCAAAGGAAUUGACGGGGGCCCGCACAAGCGGCGGAGCAUGUGGUUUAAUUCGACGCAACGCGAAGAACCUUACCUGGCCUUGACAUCUCGGGAAGUAGCUUGAAAGAGCUUCGUGCCCUUCGGGGAACCCGAUGACAGGUGCUGCAUGGCUGUCGUCAGCUCGUGUCGUGAGAUGUUGGGUUAGGUCCCGCAACGAGCGCAACCCCUGUCUCUAGUUGCCAGCAUUUAGUUGGGCACUCUAGAGAGACUGCCGGUGUCAAGCCGGAGGAAGGUUAAGGUGCGUCAACUGUUCCAGGCCCGCCGCGCCCAGGCUGACCGCCCUUUUCAAUGGUAGCUGCUAUGAGCAACGAAGAUACGAACUUGAGCUAAUGUCCAAAACCCUGUUUUAAGAAUAAGGAGAGUCUUCAACUGUGCCCCCAGAAGUGGUAAUCCGUAGUAUUCAUGCAUUAUCCUG
This 1354-nucleotide ribosomal RNA is filed under the name uncultured bacterium. Its description in RNAcentral is "partial 16S ribosomal RNA". It matches the Rfam family "Bacterial small subunit ribosomal RNA", at positions 18 to 1356 of the family's 1533-position model. The record is from RNAcentral.